Molecule: ribosomal RNA, 484 nt
Filed under: uncultured bacterium
Lineage: Bacteria
Description: partial 16S ribosomal RNA
Rfam family: Bacterial small subunit ribosomal RNA
Source: RNAcentral
AUUGAACGCUGGCGGCAGGCCUAACACAUGCAAGUCGAGCGGAUGAAGGGAGCUUGCUCCUGGAUUCAGCGGCGGACGGGUGAGUAAUGCCUAGGAAUCUGCCAGGUAGUGGGGGAUAACGUCCGGAAACGGGCGCUAAUACCGCAUACGUCCUGAGGGAGAAAGUGGGGGAUCUUCGGACCUCACGCUAUCAGAUGAGCCUAGGUCGGAUUAGCUAGUUGGUGGGGUAAAGGCCUACCAAGGCGACGAUCCGUAACUGGUCUGAGAGGAUGAUCAGUCACACUGGAACUGAGACACGGUCCAGACUCCUACGGGAGGCAGCAGUGGGGAAUAUUGGACAAUGGGCGAAAGCCUGAUCCAGCCAUGCCGCGUGUGUGAAGAAGGUCUUCGGAUUGUAAAGCACUUUAAGUUGGGAGGAAGGGCAGUAAGUUAAUACCUUGCUGUUUUGACGUUACCAACAGAAUAAGCACCGGCUAACUUCGUG